CAUGCUUGUAAUCCUAGCACUCUGGGAGGAUGGCGAAGAAGGAUUCCAAGUUCGAGCCCAGCCUGGGCAACUUAGUGAGACCCUGUUCAAAAUUUUAAAAGGGCCAAAGAUAUAGCUCAGUCCUGGGUUUAAUCUCCAAUACUGAAAAAUAAAUAAAAUUGGUUCAACCUGACGUGGUGGUCCACAGGUAGUGGAUCACAAAUUUGAGCCCUGCUUGGUCAAUUCAGCUAUUUAGCAAGACCCCAUCUCAAAGAAUAAAAAUUUAAAAAGGGGAUGUAGCUCAGUGAUAAGGCCCUGGUUUAACCCCCUGUAGAGAGAAAAGUCAGGCGUGAUCACGCACGCCUAUCAUCCUAGCUAAAUGGAAGACUAAGGCAGGAGAAUCACAAGUUGGGGGGCCUGGGGAAUUUAGUGGGAGCCUGUCUCAAAUAAAAUUGGAAACACAACAGAGGAUGCUUUUUCCGCUUCAUUUCUGGAAGCCCCGCCUAUUCCGAGCAAGACGUCACUCAGGGAGCCUCCGUCUCCACGGCGACGGAAUGCAGCCUCGGAAAUCCCUGCGCAAGCGCAGAAAGAUUCCACUGGGGGGGAGGGGCGCGCCAGACCCGCCCCCUUACGCACAUUCAUCUACUGGGACUUCCCCACGGCCCCUUUCUGUGCCCGGUGUCCGCUCGCCCAGUUGACCGUCAGGCGCGAGUCUCUCUCUUUCUGAGGACCGUCCUCUCCUCACUAUGUGGCCUUCUUUGCCAGGAGGCGAUCGCGCAGACACAGAAGGCCCCAGGCCCGGCCGGCCCAGGCCCACCCGUUCGAUCGCAACCGUACACUCGAGUCUGCGCCGGGAAUGUCACACGCGCGGGGUCUCCUGGGAGCUCCCGCCCCGCCCCCUUGCGCGGUGCUGCCUGCGUUAUGCGCAGGCGCUCCUGGGAGCUCCCGCCCCGCCCACUGGCCCAGGUCCGCGAACUACGGCUCCCUGUAGGCAGUGCAGCGGCCUGGACCAGAGCCGGGGUCGCGACGGGCGGCCGGGUGGGCUCGGGCGCGGCGGGGCGGCCUGGCCUGGGUCCUGAGCAGCGGGACAGUCGGCUGACGACGAGGUGCAGGCUCAGCGCUGCCUGGUUACCCCGCGGCCCUGGGUCGAGCGCGCCGGAAAACUCUGGGCAAGUGGGGGCCGGGCCCGGCGGCCUUUCGGAGCCGGGGGCGGUGGCAGCGGACCCGCGCGCCGGGGGAGCGGGGCAGGGCUGGCGCCUCGGUCCCUCCGUCUGGGGCCGCCGCUGGUGCCUGUGCGUCCGCAGCCUCGGCCGGGACCGCGCGGGGCCCCGACGUCCGCAGUCCCGGGCUGACCGCGGCUGACGCAGGGGUCCUGGCCUCCCAACCGCGAGCGCCCUGAGGCGGGACGCGGCGCCGGGGUCGCGCUGUGUCGCAGGUGCUAACUGUGCGUCUCGGCACCCCGGCCGCAGGGUUGGAUCGCUUGGUGCCCACGCCGAAGCUCUGCACGGUCGAGGCCAGUCUCUGGGGUCCAGGAGCCAGGGCUGCAGCCCGAGCCUCAAGGCGGGCCGGGACCGUGGACGACCGGACAGACUGGUUUGCUGCCUGCCCGCUUGGUUUGCUGUGUUCUGUGUUGGCAAUGGCUGCUAGCUUUCCACUGGAAAUCUUGGUGGCUGAGCGAAUUUGUGACCCAGGAAGUAACAAGUAAAUGCCUGGGAUGCUGACUGGAGGCUGCUGUGUGCUCUGAGGUGAGUUCUGAUUUCUCUGAAGCACAUUUGCUGACCAAGUCCUCGUACUCUGCUGGCCCCACAGUCUUUGUCGACAUUCGUAGCAAGCUGAGAGCCUCCAAAACCCAGACUAGCUAGCAAGUCCAGCAUUUCUGGCCAAGGAGACAUUGGGAACCCUGCGAGCCGGUUUGCACUUCGACGCUCGCGUGUGUGUUCGCUUCGGCAUUCAGCAUCCUGAAGUGUGAGGUGGCAGCUGUGUGCUUAGGAGAGGGGUGAAGGCCCCUGCUCUGCGGCUCCAGGUGAGGCCCUCCAUGUGCCUGGAGCUGGGAUUGCGGCAGCUCUCAGACCUUGCUGGACAGGGCAGUGCACACGGGGCUGGGCUGCGGUCCCACAAGGCUGUGGCUGUCUCCACGAGACUUCAGCAGGUCAGCUUAGAGUCCGAGGCCAGCCGCGGGGCUCUCCGCUUUCCCGAGGCCUCUGGCCCAGAGCUAACCAGCUUGCAGGGUGCUCAGGGCUCACAAGAACCUUCCUCUGUGCCUGGAGCUGUCAGGGUGAGGACAGGAGGGUGAGAGCGAGUGGCAGAGAGGCCUCCUGACCUCCAGGAAGGCCUGGCAUGUGGC
Heterocephalus glaber (naked mole-rat) is the source of this 2323-nucleotide long non-coding RNA. NCBI's taxonomy places the organism in Eukaryota, Metazoa, Chordata, Mammalia, Rodentia, Bathyergidae. The record is from Ensembl.